This 74-nucleotide transfer RNA is filed under the name Nanobdellota archaeon. RNAcentral describes it as "tRNA-Asn". It matches the Rfam family "tRNA". From Rfam's summary of the family: Transfer RNA (tRNA) molecules are approximately 80 nucleotides in length. Their secondary structure includes four short double-helical elements and three loops (D, anti-codon, and T loops). Lineage: Archaea; Nanobdellati; Nanobdellota. The record is from RNAcentral.
GUUCCCUUAGCUCAGCUGGUUAGAGCAUCUGACUGUUAAUCAGAGGGUCGCUGGUUCGAGUCCAGCAGGGAACG